This 332-nucleotide ribosomal RNA is filed under the name uncultured bacterium. RNAcentral describes it as "bacterial SSU rRNA". It matches the Rfam family "Bacterial small subunit ribosomal RNA", at positions 568 to 898 of the family's 1533-position model. The record is from RNAcentral.
CGUGUAGGCGGCCUCUUAAGUCUGAUGUGAAAGCCCGGGGCUUACCCCCGGAAGUGCAUUGGAAACUGGGAGGCUUGAGUACCGGAGAGGAAGGUGGAAUUCCUGGUGUAGCGGUGAAAUGCGUAGAUAUCAGGAGGAACACCGGUGGCGAAGGCGGCCUUCUGGACGGAUACUGACGCUGAGACGCGAAAGCGUGGGGAGCAAACAGGAUUAGAUACCCUGGUAGUCCACGCUGUAAACGAUGGGCACUAGGUGUUCGGGGUAUUGACCCCCUGAGUGCCGCAGCUAACGCAUUAAGUGCCCCGCCUGGGGACUACGGCCGCAAGGUUAAA